CAGCAGCCACGGUAAUACGCAGGUGGCAAGCGUUGUCCGGAAUUAUUGGGCGUAAAGGGCUCGCAGGCGGUUUCUUAAGUCUGAUGUGAAAGCCCCCGGCUCAACCGGGGAGGGUCAUUGGAAACUGGGAAACUUGAGUGCAGAAGAGGAGAGUGGAAUUCCACGUGUAGCGGUGAAAUGCGUAGAGAUGUGGAGGAACACCAGUGGUGAAGGCGACUCUCUGGUCUGUAACUGACGCUGAGGAGCGAAAGCGUGGGGAGCGAACAGGAUUAGAUACCCCGGUAGUCCCUGUCUCUUAUCC
This 301-nucleotide ribosomal RNA is filed under the name uncultured bacterium. RNAcentral's name for it is "partial 16S ribosomal RNA". It matches the Rfam family "Bacterial small subunit ribosomal RNA", at positions 509 to 809 of the family's 1533-position model. The record is from RNAcentral.